This 163-nucleotide ribosomal RNA is filed under the name Lespedeza buergeri. Its description in RNAcentral is "5.8S ribosomal RNA". It matches the Rfam family "5.8S ribosomal RNA". Rfam says of the family: 5.8S ribosomal RNA (5.8S rRNA) is a component of the large subunit of the eukaryotic ribosome. It is transcribed by RNA polymerase I as part of the 45S precursor that also contains 18S and 28S rRNA. Lineage: Eukaryota; Viridiplantae; Streptophyta; Magnoliopsida; Fabales; Fabaceae. The record is from RNAcentral.
GAACGACUCUCGGCAACGGAUAUCUCGGCUCUUGCAUCGAUGAAGAACGUAGCGAAAUGCGAUACUUGGUGUGAAUUGCAGAAUCCCGUGAACCAUCGAGUCUUUGAACGCAAGUUGUGCCCGAAGCCAUUAGGCCGAGGGCACGCCUGCCUGGGUGUCACAC